AACACGUGAGUAACCUGCCCCGGACUCUGGAAUAAGCGCUGGAAACGGCGUCUAAUACCGGAUACGAGACGCAACCGCAUGGUUAGCGUCUGGAAAGUUUUUCGGUCUGGGAUGGACUCGCGGCCUAUCAGCUUGUUGGUGAGGUAAUGGCUCACCAAGGCGACGACGGGUAGCCGGCCUGAGAGGGCGACCGGCCACACUGGGACUGAGACACGGCCCAGACUCCUACGGGAGGCAGCAGUGGGGAAUAUUGCACAAUGGGCGAAAGCCUGAUGCAGCGACGCCGCGUGAGGGAUGACGGCCUUCGGGUUGUAAACCUCUUUCAGCAGGGAAGAAGCGAAAGUGACGGUACCUGCAGAAGAAGCACCGGCUAACUACGUGCCAGCAGCCGCGGUAAUACGUAGGGUGCGAGCGUUGUCCGGAAUUAUUGGGCGUAAAGAGCUUGUAGGCGGUUUGUCGCGUCUGCUGUGAAAAAUCCGGGGCUCACCCCCGGACUUGCAGUGGGUACGGGCAGACUAGAGUGUGGUAGGGGAGACUGGAAUUCCUGGUGUAGCGGUGAAAUGCGCAGAUAUCAGGAGGAACACCGAUGGCGAAGGCAGGUCUCUGGGCCACUACUGACGCUGAGAAGCGAAAGCAUG
This 638-nucleotide ribosomal RNA is filed under the name Janibacter sp. A23MG1. RNAcentral describes it as "bacterial SSU rRNA". It matches the Rfam family "Bacterial small subunit ribosomal RNA", at positions 112 to 763 of the family's 1533-position model. Lineage: Bacteria; Bacillati; Actinomycetota; Actinomycetes; Micrococcales; Intrasporangiaceae. The record is from RNAcentral.